RNAcentral lists this transfer RNA (71 nucleotides) under Loxodonta africana (African savanna elephant). It matches the Rfam family "tRNA". From Rfam's summary of the family: Transfer RNA (tRNA) molecules are approximately 80 nucleotides in length. Their secondary structure includes four short double-helical elements and three loops (D, anti-codon, and T loops). The record is from Rfam by way of RNAcentral. Lineage: Eukaryota; Metazoa; Chordata; Mammalia; Proboscidea; Elephantidae.
GCAGUGGUGGUUAAGUGGUAGAAUUCUUGCUUUCCAUGUUGGAGACCUGGGUUUGUUUCCUGGCCAGUGCG